AGCAGCCGCGGUAAUUCCAGCUCCAAUAGCGUAUAUUAAAGUUGUUGCAGUUAAAAAGCUCGUAGUUGAAUUUCGGAAUUUUUUUAUCGGUUGAAUCAACAGGUUCGUACUGAUUUUAAGAAUUUCUACCUUCUGGAGAACCUUAAUGUCAUUAAUUUGGUGUUUUGGGAAACCAGGACUGUUACCUUGAAAAAAUUAGAGUGUUUAAAGCAGGCUUAUGUCUGAAUAUAUUAGCAUGGAAUAAUGAAAUAGGACGGCAUGGUUCUAUUUUGUUGGUUUCUAGGAUCACCGUAAUGAUUAAUAGGGAUAGUUGGGGGCAUUAGUAUUCAAUUGUCAGAGGUGAAAUUCUUGGAUUUAUUGAAGACUAACUUCUGCGAAAGCAUUUGCCAAGGAUGUUUUCAUUAAUCAAGAACGAAAGUUAGAGGUUCGAAGGCGAUCAGAUACCGCCCUAGUUCUAACCAUAAACGAUGUCGACUGGCGAUCCGCUAUCGUUAACUGAAUAGACUUAGCGGGNACGCCU
This 520-nucleotide ribosomal RNA is filed under the name uncultured Pacispora. RNAcentral describes it as "bacterial SSU rRNA". It matches the Rfam family "Eukaryotic small subunit ribosomal RNA", at positions 569 to 1089 of the family's 1831-position model. The record is from RNAcentral. Lineage: Eukaryota; Fungi; Glomeromycota; Glomeromycetes; Diversisporales; Pacisporaceae.